This 267-nucleotide ribosomal RNA is filed under the name uncultured bacterium. Its description in RNAcentral is "partial 16S ribosomal RNA". It matches the Rfam family "Bacterial small subunit ribosomal RNA", at positions 793 to 1055 of the family's 1533-position model. The record is from RNAcentral.
GUCCACGCAGUAAACUGUGAACACUAGGUGUAGCGGGUAUUGACCCCUGCUGUGCCGAAGCUAACGCAUUAAGUGUUCCGCCUGGGAAGUACGGUCGCAAGGCUAAAACUCAAAGGAAUUGACGGGGGCCCCGCACAAGCGGUGGAGCAUGUGGUUUAAUUCGACGCAACGCGAAGAACCUUACCUGGGUUUGACAUCCCGGGAAUCCCCUGGAAACAGGGGAGUGCCCUUCGGGGAGCCCGGAGACAGGUGCUGCAUGGCUGUCGU